AAAUGUCGUUGUUAGCAGUUGUAGCUUCUGGUUACUCCUACCACGUCACAACAUCUGUGUCUGCUUCUGUUUUCAGGUUUGCCUCACCACCCAGCGGCCCAUCCUUUGGGUCCCUAGCCAAUCAGAGCGCUCCGUCGUUCGGGGGCCUGGCCCAGCAGAGCCCUGGGUUUGGGACUCAGCCCAGCAGCUUCUCCGGCUUUGGACAGCAGCCACAGCAGGCGGGAGGAUUCCCCGGACACCCAAACACCUUUGGGUCUGCUAACCAAUCAAGUGCUCAAACAUUUGCCAGUUGGAGAAGCUAGUUUUAUUAAAGCUCCACGUCACUGCUACAGUACUUUCUGCAAUCAAGUUCAGUGUGCCACAUAAUGGGCACAGAUCCACAUGAGAUAUUGAAGGAGGAAGGGGGUUCCACAUCCACGUCAACAUACAGGACCACGUGACCGCACAUCAACAGCUGGGACAACUCAACAACAUCAAUGUGGAAAAUGGCUGUGAUUGAAAUGAUUCAAAUAAUGCUCUUAAUGCUCUCAAUAAUCUGCUUUUUUUUAGACCUGUCUUCUCCCUUUUUUAAAGCUGUUUUUAAAUUGUUUAAACUGCAAAGAGAUAGAAAUUAAAGCACCAAUGACCA
RNA transcript from Notothenia coriiceps (black rockcod), 628 nucleotides. It is a transcript of the gene named nuclear pore complex protein Nup214-like, with no coding region annotated. The record is from RefSeq and is a predicted model, not a curated record. The transcript is spliced from 4 exons. NCBI's taxonomy places the organism in Eukaryota, Metazoa, Chordata, Actinopteri, Perciformes, Nototheniidae.